GACGAACGCUGGCGGCGUGCCUAAUACAUGCAAGUAGAACGCUGAAGCGAGGAGCUUACUCUUCUUGGAUGAGUUGCGAACGGGUGAGUAACGCGUAGGUAACCUGCCUUGUAGCGGGGGAUAACUAUUGGAAACGAUAGCUAAUACCGCAUAACAAUGGAUGACACAUGUCAUUUAUUUGAAAGGGGCAAUUGCUCCACUACAAGAUGGACCCGCGUUGUAUUAGCUAGUAGGUGAGGUAAUGGCUCACCUAGGCGACGAUACAUAGCCGACCUGAGAGGGUGAUCGGCCACACUGGGACUGAGACACGGCCCAGACUCCUACGGGAGGCAGCAGUAGGGAAUCGUCGGCAAUGGGGGCAACCCUGACCGAGCAACGCCGCGUGAGUGAAGAAGGUUUUCGGAUCGUAAAGCUCUGUUGUAAGUCAAGAACGGGUGUGAGAGUGGAAAGUUCACACUGUGACGGUAGCUUACCAGAAAGGGACGGCUAACUACGUG
Molecule: ribosomal RNA, 497 nt
Filed under: uncultured bacterium
Lineage: Bacteria
Description: partial 16S ribosomal RNA
Rfam family: Bacterial small subunit ribosomal RNA
Source: RNAcentral